Molecule: long non-coding RNA, 693 nt
Filed under: Chrysolophus pictus (golden pheasant)
Lineage: Eukaryota; Metazoa; Chordata; Aves; Galliformes; Phasianidae
Description: lncRNA (ENSCPIG00010001423.1)
Source: RNAcentral
CGGGCGAAGGCGAGCAGCCCCCGCGCGCCCACAGCAAGGAGCUCCGGCUGGAGGCCACCCUCACCGCCCUCAAGGAACAGCUGUCUCGCUUGAGGAGACAGGAUGUCGGCUUGAAAAGCCACCUGGAUCAGCUUGACCAGCGAAUAAGUGAGCUGAAACUGGAUGUCAGUAAGACCUCCAGUGAAUACUUGGACAGCGACAGCCGCCCCAGCUCAGGCUUCUACGACCUGAGCGAUGGUGGUUCUUGCUCACUCUCCAAUUCUUGUACCUCUGUGUACAGUGAGUCCAUCUCCUCCUCCCACACCAGUCUUUUGCCCAGCUGUCAACACCCUAAAGCGAGGCUCAGCGUGUUUGAUUACCGACCCAAGUCUGCAGAUGAAACUACUGUGCACAACACCAGCUUCCAACAGCAGGGAACCUAUGUCAGCGAUGGAUGUCGGAUUACAGCUAGCACGGACGUUUCUGGGACUCCUGCCAGGUCCAGACCGAGGCCAGUUUCCACAGGUGACUUGGAAAGACUCAUUCCAGCAGAUGCUAGAUUUCAGAAAGAGACAGAUCCCAAAUCCUCAUCGCCUCUGUGCCAUGCAGACUUGCACUUGCUCAGCGUGGACCCCAAGUUCCAGAAUGACUUGGUCUCCAAGAAUGGCAUUGAUGUGUACCCUUACCCAAGCCCCCUUCAUGCAGUGGCUUUAC